ACGAACGCUGGCGGCGUGGAUUAGGCAUGCAAGUCGAGCGACGGACAGUCUUCGGACUGUUACGGAGCGGCGAACGGGUGAGUAACACGUGAAUAACCUGCCCAUAUGUUCCGGAUAAUUGGUCGAAAGACCUUGUAAUACGGGGGAGGAUCGGUCUUUGGCAUCUUAGACCGAGGGAAGUCGCAAGACGCAUAUGGAGGGGUUCGCGGAUUAUCAGGUAGUUGGUGGGGUAACGGCCUACCAAGCCUACGACGAUUAGCUGGUCUGAGAGGAUGGUCAGCCACAUUGGAACUGAGACACUGUCCAGACUCCUACGGGAGGCUGCAGUCGAGAAUCUUGGUCAAUGCACGAAAGUGUGAACCAGCGACGCCGCGUGAAGGAUGAAGGCCCUCUGGGUCGUAAACUUCUUUUACGGGAGAAGAAAAAAAUGACGGUAUCCCGUGAAUAAGCCACGGCUAACUACGU
This 465-nucleotide ribosomal RNA is filed under the name uncultured bacterium. Its description in RNAcentral is "bacterial SSU rRNA". It matches the Rfam family "Bacterial small subunit ribosomal RNA", at positions 29 to 506 of the family's 1533-position model. The record is from RNAcentral.